AUAAUGUUUCGUACCAGUGAUUAAUAAGGCCUCAAUGGUGGGGGAGACUGAUGUAUUGGUUGCUAUGCUAGCAGCACUGAUGGGGUGAUGGCGUGUUAACGACAAUAUGUCAAUCAUAGUGAGAGCGAGGUAGUGGGUUCAUGGUGUGGAAACAACAAUGAUGUUGGUAAUAGUGGUGUUGAUAGCAAUUAUGGUGAUGUUGGGACCAACAAUGUCGUAGUGAUAGUGAUGCUGGUAUUCAAGAGUUUGAGUAAGAUAACAAGAUGAUACAUUAUCAUAUCUUGUUUGUUUUUAAGAUAGCUCUGAAAACAAGAUAUAAAAUACACCAAAUGAGGAAAAUCUACAGGAAGAAUAAAUUGGUCCCUAAAAAACAAAAUAAUUAUAUUUGAUGUUUGAAAAAUGAGAAGUCAUAAUUCAAAUGUUAAAAAUCUUAAAUGCCAACGAAUUUUUAUUAACCAAUUUAUAUAUUUUAACUUACAGUAAUGAGGAGAUAUUGAUUGUGUAGCUUAUCACAAU
This 516-nucleotide long non-coding RNA is filed under the name Lupinus angustifolius (narrow-leaved blue lupine). Its description in RNAcentral is "long non-coding RNA (LANG_LNC002772)". Lineage: Eukaryota; Viridiplantae; Streptophyta; Magnoliopsida; Fabales; Fabaceae. The record is from RNAcentral.